GACGAACGCUGGCGGCGUGCCUAAUACAUGCAAGUAGAACGCUGAAGGAGGAGCUUGCUUCUCCGGAUGAGUUGCGAACGGGUGAGUAACGCGUAGGUAACCUGCCUGGUAGCGGGGGAUAACUAUUGGAAACGAUAGCUAAUACCGCAUAACAGUAGAUGUUGCAUGACAUUUGCUUAAAAGGUGCAAUUGCAUCACUACCAGAUGGACCUGCGUUGUAUUAGCUAGUUGGUGAGGUAACGGCUCACCAAGGCGACGAUACAUAGCCGACCUGAGAGGGUGAUCGGCCACACUGGGACUGAGACACGGCCCAGACUCCUACGGGAGGCAGCAGUAGGGAAUCUUCGGCAAUAGACGGAAGUCUGACCGAGCAACGCCGCGUGAGUGAAGAAGGUUUUCGGAUCGUAAAGCUCUGUUGUAAGAGAAGAACGAGUGUGAGAGUGGAAAGUUCACACUGUGACGGUAGCUUACCAGAAAGGGACGGCUAACUACGUG
This 495-nucleotide ribosomal RNA is filed under the name uncultured bacterium. Its description in RNAcentral is "partial 16S ribosomal RNA". It matches the Rfam family "Bacterial small subunit ribosomal RNA", at positions 28 to 507 of the family's 1533-position model. The record is from RNAcentral.